CCAACCUCCCCCGGGGCCAUGAGGAGGGCAGCAGGGCCCCGGAGGAGGUGAGAGCAACUUGAAGAUGAAAUCACGGAGGCAGCAGCCUCGGGCUCAGAGUGGAGACUUCAGUUGUCAAUGAUGACGCCAAUGAAGAGGUUGAGGGUGAAGAAGGAGCCGAAGAUGAUGAAGAUGACGAAAUAGAGGAAACUCAGUCCCCGUGACCUGUUCCCCUGCUCAUCUGCUCGCAGGAUUAGAGACACAGACCCAGAAAAGAAGCCAACAGAAUCUUUGAAGCAGCAGGACCCUUGGGACUGGACUCCCGUGCACUGCCAGCGGUGGCCACCCAGGCCAACCUCAUUAUUUCAGGCUGAACUGAAUCUGAGAAUUGUCUGUUUUCAAGGAGAAACCGUUCCAUGACCUCCAGACAAAGUGGGUGGCACAAGCCCGGUGAUGCCCAGGGGAGCUCUACUCCUGGCUGGGGCACCAACCAGCUGCCAGGUCACUUUCACUCUGGUGCAGAGGGGUCCCGGCUCCAGGGGUGGGACGGCCCAGUGCUGGCUGGCCUCUUGCAUGACCAGGAGGGAGCCCCCAGGCUCUGUGCACUGCUGACCUGCAACCAGCUGCUUCAUGGAAGUUCGUCCCUCUAGCGUGGGUUUUGCUCCUAACAGACACCCCAACCCCCCACCCCCGCCCCUUGCCUGGGGAAGUCCCAUUGGUCUUGCCCAAACCCCGUAUUUACCUGUCACUUCCGCCCUCAAGGGCCUGAGGGAAGGGUGGGCAGGCUUGGAGUCCUGGGGGGCCCCAGUCUGAGGCUGGGGAGGGACACCUAUAAACCCACAGACCUGCCUUCCUUUCUCUCCUCCUGCCUCGGUGCCCUCAGGGCCCUCCUGGGAGCUGCUGCAGCCUCUGCUGCCCCCAGUGGUGGAAGAGAUGAGCGAAGGAGGGGGCUGAGGGCGGGAAUGGGCACUUGGGCUGGUGUGGGAGGAUGCCUGGGGACCUCCAGACCUGGACCCCUGGUGGUGGCCGGAGUACAGACACCCCCAGCCCCCUUCCAAGCUGUCUCUGCUCCCCCAGUCCUCAGCCCUACUCAGAGCCCCGUUGGCACCCACCCU
Long non-coding RNA from Orcinus orca (killer whale), 1094 nucleotides. RefSeq lists it as uncharacterized. NCBI's taxonomy places the organism in Eukaryota, Metazoa, Chordata, Mammalia, Artiodactyla, Delphinidae. The record is from RefSeq and is a predicted model, not a curated record. The transcript is spliced from 3 exons.